This 604-nucleotide ribosomal RNA is filed under the name uncultured bacterium. Its description in RNAcentral is "bacterial SSU rRNA". The stretch from base 1 to 519 matches the Rfam family "Bacterial small subunit ribosomal RNA", at positions 338 to 873 of the family's 1533-position model. The record is from RNAcentral.
CCUACGGGAGGCAGCAGUGGGGAAUCUUGCGCAAUGGGCGAAAGCCUGACGCAGCAACGCCGCGUGCGGGAUGAAGGCCUUCGGGUUGUAAACCGCUUUUAACAGGAACGAAAAUGACGGUACCUGUAGAAUAAGGUGCGGCCAACUACGUGCCAGCAGCCGCGGUGACACGUAGGCACCAAGCGUUGUCCGGAUUUAUUGGGCGUAAAGAGCUCGUAGGCGGUUCAGUAAGUCGGGUGUGAAAACUCUGGGCUUAACCCAGAGACGCCACUCGAUACUAUUGUGACUAGAGUUCGGUAGGGGGGCGGGGAAUUCCUAGUGUAGCGGUGAAAUGCGCAGAUAUUAGGAGGAACACCGGUGGCGAAGGCGCCGCUCUGGGCCGAUACUGACGCUGAGGAGCGAAAGCGUGGGUAGCAAACAGGAUUAGAUACCCUGGUAGUCCACGCCGUAAACGGUGGGCACUAGGUGUGGGCUCCAACCACGGAGUCCGCGCGUCGCUAACGCAUUAAGUGCCCCGCCGUCGGGAGGUACGGCCGCGAGGUAAACGUACAAUAGAGUAGACGGCGUGAGACGCGCCGACGGACGACGACGAGGGGAGGUUAGG